GCAAAACCACGUCUUCUCAAAUACAAAAUACAAGAUAGCUCAUAAUAUAUAUAUAUUUUUUUUUUAGCCAGCUCAUAAUUUGUUACUCCCCCCAUAACCAAAAGCAGGAAUAUUACAUUUUUUCCUACCUAUAUAAAGUAUUUUCCUAAGCAAAUUUAACCUCUAAUAUACUCCUAAAACAAUACAUUGAUGUAAUGUUUUGAUUAUUAAAAUAACACGAUGAUAAGCAAUCGAUAAAAGCUAAAAGUAAAUAUAUAUAUUUGAAAGGUGACUUUACUUUGAUGAUAUAUAUACAUAUGAUUAUGAACCAUCAUCUUCUAUAGUCUAGUCAAAUUUCCAUUAUCCAAAGAGGAAUUUCAAAACUUUGUCCAAAAAAAAAAAGAAAAAGAAGAAUUUCAAAACUUUGUCCAAAAAAAAAGAAAAAGAAG
RNAcentral lists this long non-coding RNA (428 nucleotides) under Capsella rubella. RNAcentral describes it as "long non-coding RNA (CRUB_LNC001134)". The record is from RNAcentral. Lineage: Eukaryota; Viridiplantae; Streptophyta; Magnoliopsida; Brassicales; Brassicaceae.